Molecule: long non-coding RNA, 257 nt
Organism: Talpa occidentalis (Iberian mole)
Lineage: Eukaryota; Metazoa; Chordata; Mammalia; Eulipotyphla; Talpidae
Exons: 3
Source: RefSeq, a predicted model, not a curated record
CCUCCCUGCCUCCCCUCCCCCCUUAUUUCCUCUCCCCCCUUUCUCUUCCAAAGGCCCUCAUAGGCAGCCCCUCUUCCUGGACCUCAGCUCUCAUCAGAUCUUGGUGCUGUGGGGAUUCUGGAGAUGUGCCAAGCACCCAUAAUCAGGAAAUUCUGCCUCAUGAUGGUGGCCUGAGAGUUUCGAGUCUGCCCUUACAGAGUUUGGACUAAUCAGCCUCCACAAUAGUGUAAGCCAGUUCCUAGAAAUUAAAAUUUUAA